AUGCACGGCGACCAUGAUGUAAACGGCGUAUGGAAAGUCGCUGACACCGCACUCAAGUGCACUGCCCAGGCGGCGGAGCAGCGACCCUCGAUGACUGAGGUGGUGGCGUUGUUGCAUGAGUGCCUUGAGCUUGAGGCUGCGCGUAACCACAUGAAUGUUGGAUUCUACACGGCUGGGAGCAGUGGUAACGUGGAUGGCUACGAUAGGUACGCCACUGACAUGUCUAGUGAUGUGAGCCAAAGCAGCUCUGCAUUUCAGAUGGAACAUUUGGGCAGAGUACCAACAAUGUCUACAGGUCCAGCUGUGAGGUGA
This 312-nucleotide ribosomal RNA is filed under the name Triticum aestivum (bread wheat). Its description in RNAcentral is "partial small subunit ribosomal RNA". The record is from RNAcentral. Lineage: Eukaryota; Viridiplantae; Streptophyta; Magnoliopsida; Poales; Poaceae.